This 582-nucleotide ribosomal RNA is filed under the name Odontomachus simillimus. RNAcentral's name for it is "eukaryotic LSU rRNA". It matches the Rfam family "Eukaryotic large subunit ribosomal RNA", at positions 321 to 652 of the family's 3401-position model. Lineage: Eukaryota; Metazoa; Arthropoda; Insecta; Hymenoptera; Formicidae. The record is from RNAcentral.
UACGACCNCGAGACCGAUAGCGAACAAGUACCGUGANNNNAANNGAAAAGAACUUUGAAGAGAGAGUUCAAGAGUACGUGAAACCGUUCAGGGGUAAACCUAAGAAACCCAAAAGAUCGAACGGGGAGAUUCAUCGUCAGCGACACCGGCUUCGCGUCGGUGGGCGAUGUCCCGCGGUUUCUCGCGCGGGCACGCUACCGUGCGCGCAUGACCGGCUUCGUCGUCGUGCACUUCUCCCCUAGUAGAACGUCGCGACCCGCUGGGUGUCGGUCUACGGCCCGGGUGAGGUGACUGUCGCGUCGCCGGUAAAACGGCACGCGGCAAACCCUCGGACGCCCGGCCGGCUGCCCGGCGGUACUCGCACGGUAUCAGGCCGCAGUUUGUCUGCGUCAAGCCCGUCGCAAGCGCGCGCCACGGUUACUCGGAGGUACGGACCUAGCGCCGUCCCCGGUCCUGGUCCGCUGUUGGCCGACGGUGACCCUUUGACAGGCCUUACGGGGCGACGUGGGGGGCUUUCGCCGUUCCACGUCCGCCCUAAUACCGGUCGGCGACGCUACUGCUUUGGGUACUCUUAGGACCCGU